GGAGAGGUGGCCGAGAGGCUGAAGGCACUCGCCUGCUAAGCGAGUAACGGGGGUAACCUCGUUCGCGGGUUCGAAUCCCGCCCUCUCCGC
RNAcentral lists this transfer RNA (90 nucleotides) under uncultured Conexibacteraceae bacterium. Its description in RNAcentral is "tRNA-Ser". It matches the Rfam family "tRNA". Rfam says of the family: Transfer RNA (tRNA) molecules are approximately 80 nucleotides in length. Their secondary structure includes four short double-helical elements and three loops (D, anti-codon, and T loops). Lineage: Bacteria; Bacillati; Actinomycetota; Thermoleophilia; Solirubrobacterales; Conexibacteraceae. The record is from RNAcentral.